Molecule: unclassified non-coding RNA, 1979 nt
Filed under: Hevea brasiliensis (rubber tree)
Lineage: Eukaryota; Viridiplantae; Streptophyta; Magnoliopsida; Malpighiales; Euphorbiaceae
Source: RNAcentral
UUGCAAUCCUUCACUUGCUUUUGCCCAAUAAAUACCAACGCAUAUGCACUCAAGAAAAUUUCUUGAGUUUGAAGACAAAUGAAUAAAAGAAAAUGAAUGACUUUUUAUUAUAAGCUAUGAUAAACUAUAGAAGUUUGUACACAAAAUGAGUAAAGAAUUUAUCAAGAAAUGAAGAUCUAGUUAUGGUGAAAGAACCUGCAACAGAAACACAACACCAACCCACUGUCAAAGAGAAAAGAGAAGACAAAAAAUAAAAGUGAAGCUUGACGCAGCUACUAGGAAUCAAGAAACUUCGGCUGCUAACCUAAGCAGCCACCAGGCACCACCUCCUUUACCCCCCAGUAAGCUAAAGCCACGCGUGUGCUGCUCCAAAUUACCCUUCUUCUGUCCCUGCGAAAGCAUCCAUCUCGAGUCUUGACCACUUCCCUCGAGCUCUUUGUUUUUUCUCUCCAUUACCGUUCAAUCAUUAAUCAGCCCUUUCUUCACAUUUCCUACAAGCGUCACACACGUGUAACCCCAUCUUGGAACUGUCCAACUAGGGUUUCUGGUGGUUAAUUUUGCACUCGAGUCUUGAGGUCUUAAAUGGGCCUCACCCUCCCCUGUUUUAUGUAUGUACACCAGCUUUGUCAGUUUUAGGCUACUGAGCUCUCUUUCUUUACCUCUUUUUUCUUUUUAUGUGGAGGCAAAUUGCUUGCUUCUUUGGUCUCUCCUCUUCCACUUCUUAGCAAUCUAGCAAGGGAAAGUGUUUUCCUUUUGUGGGUACGCAAGUUUCUUGGAACAAGAAGGAAAGAAUUAGCUAGCUAGUAUGGGGCUCUCAAGUUUCCCUUGUGCAGCUGAAGGAGUGCUUCCCGUGCUGGUAAUGAACACGGUUAUAUCAGUAGCUUUAUUCAAGAACAUGGUCAGGUCUGUGCUCCAAGUGAUGGGUGCUAAUUGGACUCCACAAGAUUAUGAGCAAGACCCAGAUGGGCGUAUUAUUCCUCAAGAAAAUGCAAGAGAGAGAAGAAUUUCAAUAACCCAGUUCAAAUCCUUGACCACCCCCAAUAGUCCCAGUGGCAGUGGUGGUGGCAGUGGCGGUGGCAGUGGUCGGGCUGGUGGUGCUACAGUGGAAUGUUGUGUGUGUCUGUGUGGGUAUGAAGCUGAAGAGGAGGUGAGUGAACUGUCUUGCAAGCAUUUCUUCCACAAAAAGUGCUUAGACAGGUGGUUUGACAAUAAACAUAGUACCUGCCCUCUCUGUCGAUCAAUUCUCUAGAUUGAUGGAAAUUUUUGUCCUAAAUGGAUGUUCAUGGUUUCGAUGGAAGAUCAUUUUUAUUCACUUUCUUGUUGCCUUUUAUUUGGGGGGGUUGAUUUUUGAGCAAAAUUAGUGAAAAAUUAUUACAUGACAAUGUCUAAUGUCUUGCUUUGUUUUUGUGUCUUAUUUUUAUACCUCUAGUUUCAGUUUGUGUAAGUGACAAGAACAUUUCAAAUUAAAGCAUCAAGAGAUUGGACCUAUUUUAACAUCUUAAUUUCUCUAGUUUGUGCCAUACAAAUUAAUCUUUCAUCAGUUUAAUUGUCAGAUAAUUACAGACAACACAAAAUGGGGAAGAAAUAAAACACUGAAAUAGAAAGAGUGUCUUUUUUAAGAAUUUUUUUAAAUAAAGAAAAAGAAAAUUCUCAAAUUGGGAGCUUUCUUGUAGAAACAUGGACUCGAAGCAUGAAGCACAGCCAAAACGUAGGGGACAAAUGCGAGGUUCAAAGCAGCUUCUCUUUGUACCAUUUUGGGUUUGGAGAUUGUUUUGUUUGGUAAAAUGGUAAAUCAAUGAGAUGGCCACCAUCCUCUACUUGGGUCCUUCCUAUUCUAAAGCCUGCUGAAAUGGUUAAUCCAUAGCUGCUCGUCAAGCAUUUGUAUAUCUGAAAAAAUAAAAAUUUAAAUUUGGAUGCUGGGUUUGUUUUUUUCACAAUUUUAAGUUAAAAUUCAUUAAUUAGAUGCUAGCUAAUAUUAA